RNAcentral lists this ribosomal RNA (323 nucleotides) under Salmonella enterica subsp. enterica serovar Typhimurium var. 5-. RNAcentral's name for it is "bacterial LSU rRNA". It matches the Rfam family "Bacterial large subunit ribosomal RNA", at positions 140 to 501 of the family's 2925-position model. The record is from RNAcentral. Lineage: Bacteria; Pseudomonadati; Pseudomonadota; Gammaproteobacteria; Enterobacterales; Enterobacteriaceae.
UCGUCACACUAUCAUUAACUGAAUCCAUAGGUUAAUGAGGCGAACCGGGGGAACUGAAACAUCUAAGUACCCCGAGGAAAAGAAAUCAACCGAGAUUCCCCCAGUAGCGGCGAGCGAACGGGGAGGAGCCCAGAGCCUGAAUCAGCAUGUGUGUUAGUGGAAGCGUCUGGAAAGGCGCGCGAUACAGGGUGACAGCCCCGUACACAAAAGCGCAUGUGCUGUGAGCUCGAUGAGUAGGGCGGGACACGUGGUAUCCUGUCUGAAUAUGGGGGGACCAUCCUCCAAGGCUAAAUACUCCUGACUGACCGAUAGUGAACCAGUAC